This 503-nucleotide ribosomal RNA is filed under the name uncultured diatom. RNAcentral's name for it is "SSU rRNA". It matches the Rfam family "Eukaryotic small subunit ribosomal RNA", at positions 412 to 920 of the family's 1831-position model. Lineage: Eukaryota; Bacillariophyta. The record is from RNAcentral.
ACAUCCAAGGAAGGCAGCAGGCGCGUAAAUUACCCAAUCCUGACACAGGGAGGUAGUGACAAUAAAUAACAAUGCCGGGCCUUUGUAGGUCUGGCAAUUGGAAUGAGAACAAUUUAAACCCCUUAUCGAGUAUCAAUUGGAGGGCAAGUCUGGUGCCAGCAGCCGCGGUAAUUCCAGCUCCAAUAGCGUAUAUUAAAGUUGUUGCAGUUAAAAAGCUCGUAGUUGGAUUUGUGGCUGUCUCGAGCGGCCUAGCACCUAGUGUUAGUGCCUGCUUGGGUCGCCAUCCUUGGGUGGAGCCUGUGUGGCAUUAGGUUGUCGUGCAGGGGAUGCCCAUCGUUUACUGUGAGAAAAUUAGAGUGUUCAAAGCAGGCUUAUGCCGUUGAAUAUGUUAGCAUGGAAUAAUAAGAUAGGACCUCGGUACUAUUUUGUUGGUUUGCGCACGAGGUAAUGAUUAAUAGGGACAGUUGGGGGUAUUCGUAUUCCAUUGUCAGAGGUGAAAUUCU